CAGCAAAGCAAUAGAUAACUAGACUGAAA
Molecule: non-coding RNA, 29 nt
Filed under: Mus musculus (house mouse)
Lineage: Eukaryota; Metazoa; Chordata; Mammalia; Rodentia; Muridae
Source: RNAcentral